CCUGGCGGCAGUAGCGCGGUGGUCCCACCUGACCCCAUGCCGAACUCAGAAGUGAAACGCCGUAGCGCCGAUGG
This 74-nucleotide ribosomal RNA is filed under the name Escherichia coli. The record is from RNAcentral. Lineage: Bacteria; Pseudomonadati; Pseudomonadota; Gammaproteobacteria; Enterobacterales; Enterobacteriaceae. RNAcentral also lists the same sequence under 4 other names.